Molecule: long non-coding RNA, 928 nt
Organism: Anthonomus grandis grandis
Lineage: Eukaryota; Metazoa; Arthropoda; Insecta; Coleoptera; Curculionidae
Exons: 2
Source: RefSeq, a predicted model, not a curated record
UAAUGCCAAUAAAAAGUCUAUCAACUAUACAAGAUGAUGUAAAAGUUGUGGAUUUUAUCACUUAAUAUUUCGCAUAAUUUUCAGUCAUCUGCAAAUAAUACAAAUUCCCAGUAUAUAUUAUAUAGUAAAUUAAUUAGUCUCGGUAGUUGAGGUUCAAUUUUAAUUAAAAUGCCUAAAAUAUUAAUAAAUUUAUUGCUCAACUGCCUGGAAUAAUAAAAUAAUUUAAUUCGAUACCCAAUAAUAAAUAAAUUAAUUAAUCCAGGUAGUCAAAGUUACUGUUUUAAUUAGAAUGUCUGAAAUGUUGAGAAAUCCAUGGCUCAACUGCCUGGAAUUAUACAGGAAGUUAAUUUAAACUCCAUUAAUAAAUAGAUUCAUUAUUCUAGACAGGUAAGGUUCAAUUUUAAUCCAAAUGCUUAAAAUCUAUGACGCUUAACUGCCUGGAAUCACAAAAUAAUUUAAUUUGAACUCUAUUAAUAAAUUAAUUAAUUAGUCUAGCCAGUUAGAGUUUAAUUUUAAUUAAAAUCACUAAAAUAUUAAUAAAUAUAUGGUUCAACUGCCUGGAAUAAUAAAAUAAUUUAAUUCGAUACCCAAUAAUGAAUAAAUUAAUUAAUCCAGGCAGUCAAAGUUACUGUUUUAAUUAGAAUGCCUGAAAUGUUGAGAAGUCCAUGGCUCAACUGCCUGGAAUUAUACAAUAAUUUAAUUUAAACUCCAUUAAUAAAUAGAUUCAUUAUUCUAGACUGUUAAGGUUCAAUUUGAAUUAAAAUGCCUAAAAUCUAUGACGCUCAACUGCCUGGAAUAAUAAAAUAAUUUUAUUUCAACCCCGAUAAUGAGUAAAUUAAUUAAUCCAGGUGUCAAAUCUUCUAUUUUAAUUAGUGAGUGCCUAAAAUAUUAACAACUACUUGGAAUAAUAAAAUAAUUUCAAUUUAAA